Molecule: ribosomal RNA, 492 nt
Filed under: uncultured bacterium
Lineage: Bacteria
Description: bacterial SSU rRNA
Rfam family: Bacterial small subunit ribosomal RNA
Source: RNAcentral
GAUGAACGCUAGCGGCAGGCCUAAUACAUGCAAGACGAACGGUAAGUUGAGUAGCAAUACUUAGCCAAGAGUGUCGUACGGGUGCGUAACACGUAUGCAACCUACCCUAUACAGGAGGAUAGCCUAGGGAAACCUGGAUUAACCCUUCAUAGUAUUAUUGGAUGGCAUCAUUUGAUAAUUAAAACUGAGGUGGUAUAGGAUGGGCAUGCGUCUGAUUAGUUAGUUGGCGGGGUAAUGGCCCACCAAGACGAUGAUCAGUAGGGGUUCUGAGAGGAAGAUCCCCCACACUGGCACUGAGAUACGGGCCAGACUCCUACGGGAGCAGCAGUAGGGAAUAUUGGUCAAUGGAUGCAAGUCUGAACCAGCCAUGCCGCGUGCAGGAAGAAGGCCUUCUGGGUUGUAAACUGCUUUUGCCAGGGGAUAAAAUUUCCAUGCGUGGAAAACUGAAGGUACCUGGUGAAUAAGCCACGGCUAACUACGUGCCAGCAGCCG